UACGGUGGGGGCAAGCGUUGUUCGGAAUUACUGGGCGUAAAGGGCUCGUAGGUGGCCAACUAAGUCAGACGUGAAAUCCCUCAGCUUAACUGGGGAACUGCGUCUGAUACUGGAUGGCUUGAGUUUGGGAGAGGGAUGCGGAAUUCCAGGUGUAGCGGUGAAAUGCGUAGAUAUCUGGAGGAACACCGGUGGCGAAGGCGGCAUCCUGGACCAACACUGACACUGAGGAGCGAAAGCCAGGGGAGCAAACGGG
This 253-nucleotide ribosomal RNA is filed under the name uncultured bacterium. RNAcentral's name for it is "partial 16S ribosomal RNA". It matches the Rfam family "Bacterial small subunit ribosomal RNA", at positions 524 to 776 of the family's 1533-position model. The record is from RNAcentral.